This is a non-coding RNA of Dendroctonus ponderosae (mountain pine beetle), 114 nucleotides long. NCBI's taxonomy places the organism in Eukaryota, Metazoa, Arthropoda, Insecta, Coleoptera, Curculionidae. The record is from Rfam.
GUGGGCUAUGGGGAUAUGGUGCCCAAAACCUACAUUGGGAUGUUUGUGGGUGCCUUAUGUGCCUUGGCAGGUGUACUGACGAUAGCUUUACCAGUACCUGUGAUUGUAUCAAAU